GCCAGUGUAGUGUAGUGGUUUGAACAUUGGACUAUGACUCUGAAGACCAGGGUUUGAUUCCUACUCAGCCA
Phrynosoma platyrhinos (Desert horned lizard) is the source of this 71-nucleotide non-coding RNA. NCBI's taxonomy places the organism in Eukaryota, Metazoa, Chordata, Lepidosauria, Squamata, Phrynosomatidae. The record is from the annotation of a GenBank genome assembly.